GGGUCAUUAGGUUGGUCGUGCCACCGGUACGUACUGGUCUCACUGAUUCCUCCUUCCUGAAGAACCGUAAUGCCAUUAAUUUAGUGUUGCGGGGAAACAGGACUGUUACUUUGAAAAAAUUAGAGUGUUUAAAGCAAGCUAACGCUUGAAUACAUUAGCAUGGAAUAAUGAAAUAGGACGAUCGAUCCUAUUUUGUUGGUUUCUAGGAUUGACGUA
Molecule: ribosomal RNA, 216 nt
Filed under: Glomeromycotina sp.
Lineage: Eukaryota; Fungi; Glomeromycota
Description: partial small subunit ribosomal RNA
Rfam family: Eukaryotic small subunit ribosomal RNA (bases 40-216)
Source: RNAcentral